GUAACGAAUAUUCCGCAAUGGACGCAAGUCUGACGGAGCGAUGCCGCGUGCAGGACGAAGCCCUUCGGGGUGUAAACUGCUGUCAGGGGUAAGCAACCCAAUGAGCUACCCCAAAGGAAGAGGCGACUAACUCUGUGCCAGCAGUCGCGGUAAUACAGAGGCCUCGAGCGUUAAUCGGAAUCACUGGGCUUAAAGGGUGCGUAGGCGGGUCCGUAAGUGCCUUGUGAAAUCCCCUGGCUUAACCAGGGAACGGCUGGGCAGACUGCGGGCCUUGAGGUCGGUAGGGGUCGCUGGAACGGUUGGUGGAGCGGUGAAAUGCGUAGAUAUCAACCGGAACGCCAAAGGUGAAGACAGGCGACUGGGCCGACUCUGACGCUGAGGCACGAAAGCGUGGGGAGCAAACGGGAUUAGAAACCCCGGUAGUCC
This 426-nucleotide ribosomal RNA is filed under the name uncultured bacterium. Its description in RNAcentral is "bacterial SSU rRNA". It matches the Rfam family "Bacterial small subunit ribosomal RNA", at positions 354 to 796 of the family's 1533-position model. The record is from RNAcentral.